Molecule: ribosomal RNA, 675 nt
Filed under: Inocybe lacera
Lineage: Eukaryota; Fungi; Basidiomycota; Agaricomycetes; Agaricales; Inocybaceae
Description: eukaryotic LSU rRNA
Rfam family: Eukaryotic large subunit ribosomal RNA
Source: RNAcentral
UUGACCUCAAAUCAGGUAGGACUACCCGCUGAACUUAAGCAUAUCAAUAAGCGGAGGAAAAGAAACUAACAAGGAUUCCCCUAGUAACUGCGAGUGAAGCGGGAAGAGCUCAAAUUUGAAAUCUGGCGGUCCUUGGCCGUCCGAGUUGUAGUCUAGAGAAGUGCUACCUGUGCUGGACCGUGUACAAGUCUCCUGGAAUGGAGCAUCGCAGAGGGUGAGAAUCCCGUCUUUGACACGGACUGCCUGUACGUCAUGGUGCGCUCUCGAAGAGUCGAGUUGUUUGGGAAUGCAGCUCAAAAUGGGUGGUAAAUGCCAUCUAAAGCUAAAUAUUGGCGAGAGACCGAUAGCGAACAAGUACCGUGAGGGAAAGAUGAAAAGAACUUUGGAAAGAGAGUUAAACAGUACGUGAAAUUGCUGAAAGGGAAACGCUUGAAGUCAGUCGCGUCGGCCAGAAAUCAGCCUUUGCUUUUGCUUGGUGUACUUUCUUGGUUGAUGGGUCAGCAUCAAUUUCGACCGUCGGAUAAAGUCGUCGGGAAUGUGGCAUCUUCGGAUGUGUUAUAGCCCGGCGUCGCAUACGGUGGUUGGGAUUGAGGAACUCAGCACGCCGAAAGGCCGGGUCUCUCGAGACCACGUCCGUGCUUAGGAUGCUGGCAUAAUGGCUUUAAUCGACCCGUC